CAGGAAAUAGUUUAAGUAAAAUUUUAAUUUUGGAGAUUAAAGAUAGACGAAUUGUUCUUUUUCUGA
This 66-nucleotide transfer RNA is filed under the name Morimospasma tuberculatum. Its description in RNAcentral is "tRNA-Pro". RNAcentral also lists the same sequence under 1 other name. The record is from RNAcentral. Lineage: Eukaryota; Metazoa; Arthropoda; Insecta; Coleoptera; Cerambycidae.